GGGCCCAUAGCUCAUCUGGUAGAGCGCCGCGUUUGCACCGCGGAGGUGGCAGGUUCGAGUCCUGUUGGGUCCACCA
This 76-nucleotide transfer RNA is filed under the name bacterium CG_4_10_14_0_8_um_filter_33_57. RNAcentral's name for it is "tRNA-Ala". It matches the Rfam family "tRNA". From Rfam's summary of the family: Transfer RNA (tRNA) molecules are approximately 80 nucleotides in length. The record is from RNAcentral. RNAcentral also lists the same sequence under 1 other name.